UGGACCUCAGAUCAGGCAAGAUACCCGCUGAGUUUAAGCAUAUCACUAAGCGGAGGAAAAGAAACU
Molecule: ribosomal RNA, 66 nt
Filed under: Porella obtusata
Lineage: Eukaryota; Viridiplantae; Streptophyta; Jungermanniopsida; Porellales; Porellaceae
Description: partial 26S ribosomal RNA
Rfam family: Eukaryotic large subunit ribosomal RNA
Source: RNAcentral